RNAcentral lists this microRNA (25 nucleotides) under Canis lupus familiaris (dog). Its description in RNAcentral is "cfa-miR-8886". The record is from miRBase by way of RNAcentral. Lineage: Eukaryota; Metazoa; Chordata; Mammalia; Carnivora; Canidae.
UCCCAGGACAUGAGUGUAGGACACA